GAGGAGCUUGCUCCUCUGAUUUAGCGGCGGACGGGUGAGUAACACGUGGGUAAUCUGCCUGUAAGACGGGGAUAACUCCGGGAAACCGGGGCUAAUACCGGAUAAUAAGAAGAAACGCAUGUUUCUUUUUUGAAAGUCGGUUUCGGCUGACACUUACAGAUGAGCCCGCGGCGCAUUAGCUAGUUGGUGAGGUAACGGCUCACCAAGGCGACGAUGCGUAGCCGACCUGAGAGGGUGAUCGGCCACACUGGGACUGAGACACGGCCCAGACUCCUACGGGAGGCAGCAGUAGGGAAUCUUCGGCAAUGGGCGAAAGCUGACCGAGCAACGCCGCGUGAGGAUGAAGGCCUUCGGGUCGUAAAGCUCUGUUGUUAGAGAAGAACAAGUACGAGAGUAACUGCUCGUACCUUGACGGUACCUAACCAGAAAGCCACGGCUAACUACGUGCCAGCAGCCGCGGUAAUACGUAGGUGGCAAGCGUUAUCCGGAAUUAUUGGGCGUAAAGCGCGCGCAGGCGGUCUCUUAAGUCUGAUGUGAAAGCCCACGGCUCAACCGUGGAGGGUCAUUGGAAACUGGGAGACUUGAGUGCAGGAGAGAAAAGUGGAAUUCCACGUGUAGCGGUGAAAUGCGUAGAGAUGUGGAGGAACACCAGUGGCGAA
RNAcentral lists this ribosomal RNA (659 nucleotides) under Fictibacillus barbaricus. Its description in RNAcentral is "bacterial SSU rRNA". It matches the Rfam family "Bacterial small subunit ribosomal RNA", at positions 73 to 719 of the family's 1533-position model. The record is from RNAcentral. Lineage: Bacteria; Bacillati; Bacillota; Bacilli; Caryophanales; Fictibacillaceae.